RNAcentral lists this ribosomal RNA (440 nucleotides) under uncultured bacterium. RNAcentral describes it as "partial 16S ribosomal RNA". It matches the Rfam family "Bacterial small subunit ribosomal RNA", at positions 338 to 795 of the family's 1533-position model. The record is from RNAcentral.
CCUACGGGGGGCAGCAGUAGGGAAUAUUGCUCAAUGGGGGAAAGCCUGAAGCAGCAACGCCGCGUGGAGGAUGAAGGUCUUCGGAUUGUUAACCCCUUUUGUUAGAGAAGAAAAUGACGGUACCUAACGAAUAAGCACCGGCUAACUCCGUGCCAGCAGCCGCGGUAAUACGGAGGGUGCAAGCGUUACUCGGAAUCACUGGGCGUAAAGAGCGCGUAGGCGGGAUAGCAAGUCAGAUGUGAAAUCCUAUGGCUUAACCAUAGAACUGCAUUUGACACUGCUAUUCUAGAGUUUGGGAGAGGUAGGUGGAAUUCUUGGUGUAGCGGUGAAAUCCGUAGAGAUCAAGAAGAAUACUGAUUGCGAAGGCGACCUGCUAGAACAUAACUGACGCUGAUGCGCGAAAGCGUGGGGAGCAAACAGGAUUAGAUACCCGUGUAGUC